RNAcentral lists this ribosomal RNA (558 nucleotides) under Trichinella spiralis. Its description in RNAcentral is "partial large subunit ribosomal RNA". It matches the Rfam family "Eukaryotic large subunit ribosomal RNA", at positions 1353 to 1750 of the family's 3401-position model. Lineage: Eukaryota; Metazoa; Nematoda; Enoplea; Trichinellida; Trichinellidae. The record is from RNAcentral.
CGUCUCAUUCCGCACUUUUUUUUCGGAAAAGGUGUAAUGAACGUUGAGACGGGUAGGAAGGUCGCGACAGUGUUGCUUUGAAGAGUUUUGAGCGUGAGCUCGCUCGGAGCCGCUGUUGGUGCAGAUCUUGGUGGUAGUAGCAAAUAUUCAAGUGAGAACCUUGAAGGCUGAAGUGGAGCAAGGUUCCAUGUGAACAGCAGUUGGACAUGGGUCAGUCGAUCCUAAGAAAACGGCGAAAGCUUGUUCGAAUUUGCGACAUGAAUUGUAAGACUGAAUAAUUAUUUGUGUGUGUGUUGUGGUGGAGGCGAUUGUGUCGUCACCAGUUGUUGUUGUGUGCAGUUGUCGUAUGUUUUCGAAAGGGAAUCCGGUUGAUAUUCCGGAACCGAGUAACGGAGACAAAGAGUAGCGCUUUAAUCUCUCUGUGGGGUUGGCGUUCAACUCAAUCGCGCGGUAACGCAAGCGAACUCGGAAAAUGACCGUCGUGAGUUUCGAAAAGAGUUUUCUUUUCUUUUUAAGGGACGCAUUCCCUGGAACCGGGUUGUCCGGAGAUAGGGAUUC